GGAGGGGUGGCCGAGCGGUUGAAGGCGGCGGUCUUGAAAACCGCUGAAGUCGUAAGGCUUCCGUGGGUUCGAAUCCCACCCCCUCCG
RNAcentral lists this transfer RNA (87 nucleotides) under Chloroflexota bacterium. Its description in RNAcentral is "Chloroflexi bacterium tRNA-Ser". It matches the Rfam family "tRNA". From Rfam's summary of the family: Transfer RNA (tRNA) molecules are approximately 80 nucleotides in length. Their secondary structure includes four short double-helical elements and three loops (D, anti-codon, and T loops). Further hydrogen bonds mediate the characteristic L-shaped molecular structure. tRNAs have two regions of fundamental functional importance: the anti-codon, which is responsible for specific mRNA codon recognition, and the 3' end, to which the tRNAs corresponding amino acid is attached (by aminoacyl-tRNA synthetases). tRNAs cope with the degeneracy of the genetic code in two manners: having more than one tRNA (with a specific anti-codon) for a particular amino acid; and 'wobble' base-pairing, i.e. permitting non-standard base-pairing at the 3rd anti-codon position. The record is from RNAcentral. RNAcentral also lists the same sequence under 1 other name. Lineage: Bacteria; Bacillati; Chloroflexota.